Ictidomys tridecemlineatus (thirteen-lined ground squirrel) is the source of this 73-nucleotide non-coding RNA. The record is from Rfam. NCBI's taxonomy places the organism in Eukaryota, Metazoa, Chordata, Mammalia, Rodentia, Sciuridae.
GAGGAUAUAGCUAAGUUGGUAGAGUGCUUGCCUUGCAUGCACAAAGCCCUGGGUUCAAUCCCCAGCACCCUCC